Molecule: non-coding RNA, 26 nt
Filed under: Cricetulus griseus (Chinese hamster)
Lineage: Eukaryota; Metazoa; Chordata; Mammalia; Rodentia; Cricetidae
Source: RNAcentral
GUGGGUGGCACAGCUGAGCAUGCAGA